RNAcentral lists this ribosomal RNA (429 nucleotides) under uncultured bacterium. RNAcentral's name for it is "bacterial SSU rRNA". It matches the Rfam family "Bacterial small subunit ribosomal RNA", at positions 355 to 776 of the family's 1533-position model. The record is from RNAcentral.
UGGGGAAUAUUGGACAAUGGGGGCAACCCUGAUCCAGCAAUGCCGCGUGUGUGAAGAAGGCCCUCGGGUUGUAAAGCCCUUUAGGUAGGGAAGAAGUUAUGUAGUUUAAGAGAUGACAUAAUUGACGGUACCUACAGAAUAAGCACCGGCUAACUCUGUGCCAGCAGCCGCGGUAAUACAGAGGGUGCAAGCGUUAAUCGGAAUUACUGGGCGUAAAGGGCGCGUAGGUGGUUUGAUAAGUUGGUUGUGAAAUCCCUGGGCUUAACCUAGGAACUGCAACCAAGACUGUUAAGCUGGAGUAUGAUAGAGGGUAGUGGAAUUUCCGGUGUAGCGGUGAAAUGCGUAGAUAUCGGAAGGAACACCAGUGGCGAAGGCGGCUACCUGGAUUAAUACUGACACUGAGGCGCGAGAGCGCGGGGAGCAAACAGG